GACGAACGCUGGCGGCGUGCCUAAUACAUGCAAGUAGAACGCUGAAGAGAGGAGCUUGCUCUUCUUGGAUGAGUUGCGAACGGGUGAGUAACGCGUAGGUAACCUGCCUUGUAGCGGGGGAUAACUAUUGGAAACGAUAGCUAAUACCGCAUAAAAAUGGAUGAAACAUGUCAUUUAUUUGAAAGGGGCAAUUGCUCCACUACAAGAUGGACCUGCGUUGUAUUAGCUAGUAGGUGAGGUAAAGGCUCACCUAGGCGACGAUACAUAGCCGACCUGAGAGGGUGAACGGCCACACUGGGACUUGGACACGGCCCAGACUCCUUCGGGAGGCAGCAGGAGGGGAUCUUCGGCAAUGGGGGCAACCCUGACCGAACAACGCCGCGUGAGUGAAGAAGGUUUUCGGAUCGUAAAGCUCUGUUGUGAGUCAAGAACGGGUGUGAGGGUGGAAAGUUCACACUGUGACGGUAGCUUACCAGAAAGGGACGGCUAACUACGUG
Molecule: ribosomal RNA, 497 nt
Filed under: uncultured bacterium
Lineage: Bacteria
Description: partial 16S ribosomal RNA
Rfam family: Bacterial small subunit ribosomal RNA
Source: RNAcentral